Molecule: ribosomal RNA, 571 nt
Filed under: Priestia megaterium
Lineage: Bacteria; Bacillati; Bacillota; Bacilli; Caryophanales; Bacillaceae
Description: bacterial SSU rRNA
Rfam family: Bacterial small subunit ribosomal RNA
Source: RNAcentral
GCGGAGGGGUGAGUAACUGGUGGGCAACCUGCCUGUAAGACUGGGAUGACUUCGGGAAACCGAAGCUAAUACCGAAUAAGAUCUUCUCCUUCAUGGGAGAUGAUUGAAAGAUGGUUUCGGCUAUCACUUACAGAUGGGCCCGCGGUGCAUUAUCUAGUUGGUGAGGUAACGGCUCACCAAGGUGACAAUGCAUAGCCGACCUGAGAGGGUGAUCGGGCACACUGGGACUGAGACACGGCCCGGACUCCUACGGGAGGCAGCAGUGGGGAAUCUUCCGCAAUGGACGAAAGUCUGACGGACCAACGCCGCGUGAGUGAUGAAGGCUUUCGGGUCAUAAAACUCUGUUGUUAGGGAAGAACAAGUACAAGAGUAACUGCUUGUACCUUGACGGUACCUAACCAGAAAGCCACGGCUAACUACGUGCCAGCAGCCGCGGUAAUACGUAGGUGGCAAGCGUUAUCCGGAAUUAUUGGGCGUAAAGCGCGCGCAGGCGGUUUCUUAAGUCUGAUGUGAAAGCCCACGGCUCAACCGUGGAGGGUCAUUGGAAACUGGGAAACUUGAGUGCAUAAGA